ACCGGUUGUCUGAUGUCCCCGCGGCUCUGCACACGGGAAGGGGGUCAGCCAAGGCCGCUCACGUUCACUCGGCCAAACCCCGGGGUGUUUGGACUCAGGCCCCUCCACGUCUGCCGAGCACCUUCUCCGGGUCAGGCUCUGAGCUGAGCUUGAGGUUCCAGCGGGAAGUGAGGCGGAUGCGGGCCUGGCCUCAGGGGCUCUCAGGCUGGGGGCAAAUGCCUGGUCACAGGGGCCACGUCACAAUCGCAGGUGCAGAGUGCUGCAAAGGGGAGACUGGGUGGUGGGGUCCGGCCCGGCCGGGGGUCCAGAAGCCUCCUGGGGAAGCCCAGCCUGAAAGAAGCUGUGCGGGGCAUCCUCCAUCCCUUCCACAGCACGUCGGGGCCAGGGCCCUGGGGCAGGACCGCUGCUGGCCUCAGGAGACAGGCCCAGAACGAGCCAGAUGACGUCAUGAUCUGGGAGGACAAUCGGGGGGAUGAAGGGGAUCAAACAGUGGACGGCGUAGUAGCUGCAGGGUGGGCAGGGCGGCCGGGUGCUCGGGAAGGUCUCCGAGGAGGCGACGUAGGAGCAGCCACCCGACCAGGCUCCUUGCCGCAGACAAGAUAGAUCUCUAAGAGUUUAAGAAGGAGAAGUCUUAAAGGUAUUUCACUCCGACGAGGCCCCGUUUUGAUGAUUCACACUCGGAAGGAAGCCGCCGCCCACAAGAGAACUUUGCGUCGACGCCCGUGGAAAGAGCAAUAAUUCUGGGUGUCAGCGUAUCAGGAUUCCAGCGGCUGUGAUUGGAAUGAAAAUGAGCGGCUGUAGGUCGUCCAUUGGAAUCGUCAUAUUACAGUAAAAGUCAUUUCCGUGAGCCCGGUGUGCGCCUCCGUCUGCCGAGGGGGCGGUGUCUGGGCUUCCAGCUCGGUGACACACGUCCCCGACGUCCCCCUCCGGCCCGCCAGCCCGGACAAACCGCCCGCCUUCUGCAGGAGACGGUUUUGGAAGUGUGAGCCCGAACCCAGAACCAGGCGAUGGCAUCUGGAGGGCGGGUUCGGGCUGAGCACGGGCCCCUGAGAGGCGCGGACCACCGCUGGGCACCCCUGGAGGGAACGGGCCCUGGCCGGCCACCAAGACUUGGGCGGGGGGGAAGCCUUUGCUGAUGGGCAAUCGUGCAGAAGCAGACGUGCCCACUGGCGAGGCCUCGGUGUGCAGCCCACGACCCAAGGAACUGGGGUGGGAGGUGGUUUCUUUUUUAAAUUUAAAAACCUUCUAGAAAAAAAAAAAAACAGGCCGGCAUUAAAACAUAUAUGGAAUUAGGCCCCAUCGUCAAAGUUAAUACCCACCAUAUGUAUUUACAUUCACCUCCACUCCAACAAAUCGAGUUCUGCAUUACAGCACGGACGGAAGAGGAGAUUGCCUCUCAGCCGGGCUGACAGGGGGCUGAGUUACUGUUUUGCCGUAGACUUCUCCGGCACGUCCAAAGACAGUGGAGGGAAAUCGGGACUGAAAAUCCCCCUUUUGGAUCUGCCUCCUAAUUUCAAAUACAAAUUAGCGGAAUUUUAACAUUUCGGAUGUCACACCUUGAGCAAAUUAAAAAUCAACAAAAAUAUUAAGGUUCCCCGUGACCCGCUCAAGUGUACAGAAUGUAUAAAAACUUUAAUCAAACA
Molecule: long non-coding RNA, 1643 nt
Organism: Canis lupus familiaris (dog)
Lineage: Eukaryota; Metazoa; Chordata; Mammalia; Carnivora; Canidae
Exons: 3
Source: RefSeq, a predicted model, not a curated record